AACGAACGCUGGCGGCAUGCCUAACACAUGCAAGUCGAACGAGAGCUUCGGGUUUAGUGGCGCACGGGGGCGUAACGCGUGGGAACCUGCCCUUAGGUCUGGCAGAACUCCCCGAAAGGGGUGCUAAUACCGGAUAAUGUCUCCGGACCAAAGGUUUAUCGCCUUUGGAUGGGCUCGCGUUGGAUUAGUUAGUUGGUAGGGUAAAAGCCUACCAAGGCGUGGAUCCAUAGCUGGGCUGAGAGGAUGAUCCGCCACACUGGGACUGAGACACGGCCCAGACUCCUACGGGAGGCAGCAGUGGGGAAUAUUGGACAAUGGGCGGAAGCCUGAUCCUGCAAUGCCGCGUGAGUGAUGAAGGCCGUAGGGUUGUAAAGCUCUUUUACCCGGGAUGAUAAUGACAGUACCGGGAGAAUAAGCUCCGGCUAACUCCGUG
This 433-nucleotide ribosomal RNA is filed under the name uncultured bacterium. Its description in RNAcentral is "partial 16S ribosomal RNA". It matches the Rfam family "Bacterial small subunit ribosomal RNA", at positions 29 to 507 of the family's 1533-position model. The record is from RNAcentral.